CGUUUAGGUUUCACAAUCUGCGUUUAGGUUUUGAUAAAUGCUUAUAACUUCUAUGUCCCUUGAGAUAUAACCUUCAUAUUUGGUAUGCAUGUGUAUAUGGACAAGACUUUUCCAUACAAACAAAAAUUUUGACCCCUGUGACCUUGACCUUGAGCUAAGGGUCUGUGUUUAGGUUUCACAAUCUGCGUUUAGGUUUUGAAAAAUGCUCAUAACUUCUAUGUCCCUUGAGAUAUAACCUUCAUAUUUGGUAUGCAUGUGUAUAUGGACAAGACUUUUCCAUACAAAUAAAAAAUUUCUCCCCUGUGACCUUGACCUUUAACUUAGGGUCCGCGUUUAGGUUUCGAAAUCUGCGUUUAGGUUUCGAAAAAUGCUCAUAACUUCUAUGUCCCUUGAGAUAUAACCUUCAUAUUUGGUAUGCAUGUGUAUAUGGACAUGGCCUUUCCCUACGCACACAAAUUUUGACCCCUGUGACCUUGACGUUGAACUUAGGGUCCGCGUUUAGGUUUCGAAAUCUGCGUUUAGGUUUCGAAAAAUGCUCAUAACUUCUAUGUCCCUUGAGAUAUAACCUUCAUAUUUGGUAUGCAUGUGUAUAUGGACAUGGCCUUUCCCUACGCACACAAAUUUUGACCCCUGUGACCUUGACGUUGAACUUAGGGUCCGCGUUUAGGUUUCGAAAUCUGUGUUUAGGUUUCGAAAAAUGCUCAUAACUUCUAUGUCCCUUGAGAUAUAACCUUCAUAUUUGGUAUGCAUGUGUAUAUGGACAAGGCCUUUCCAUACGCACACAAAUUUUGACCCCUGUGACCUUGACGUUAAACUUAGGGUCAGCGUUUAGGUUUUGAAAUCUGCGUUUAGGUUUCGAAA
This is a long non-coding RNA of Dreissena polymorpha, 861 nucleotides long. RefSeq lists it as uncharacterized. The transcript is spliced from 3 exons. NCBI's taxonomy places the organism in Eukaryota, Metazoa, Mollusca, Bivalvia, Myida, Dreissenidae. The record is from RefSeq and is a predicted model, not a curated record.